AGGAUACGAUAGUGAGCCGGUUGUCAGCGCACUUCGCUAUCCUGGGCAGUGAGAGCCAGCACUUCACCGGGUUCAUGGUGCAGGCGCGAGACGACGCCUCAGGGUUGCCGGUCGGGCAGUUCGACACAGGGUGUCUCGACAUCAACACCAUGAACUGCUUCGGCGGUUUCGCGAAUACUGCAGUCCACCUCAGUUUCGGAGCCCAAGUCUGACGCUCACAUGCGCUGGCUUCCAGAUCUGGACUUUGUUGGGAACGUCACUUUCUUUGCAACGGUGGCCCAGUCCCGGAAAGUCUUCUGGGUGAGGCAUCCUGCGAGAAAAUUGCAAGUUAUCCUUGACGUCGCCUGAAUCUGCAAUAAUACAUUUGUUUCAUUUAUACAAACUAAUUUAAAAUAAUUUAAUCGUAAAUUGUAAAGUAGUAA
Long non-coding RNA from Homalodisca vitripennis (glassy-winged sharpshooter), 422 nucleotides. RefSeq lists it as uncharacterized. NCBI's taxonomy places the organism in Eukaryota, Metazoa, Arthropoda, Insecta, Hemiptera, Cicadellidae. The record is from RefSeq and is a predicted model, not a curated record. The transcript is spliced from 3 exons.